CAGCUUCCGCUACAGGGAAAAUAAUAAUGGAGGCAGCGAGAACUAUAAAGGAUGUUUCUCCCCAUGAGUUAGUGAAUGCCUACAUUGCCCAUCUCAAACACUUUGACAAGUUUUGCUUUUAGAAACUUUUAAAAGAAAUAGAGGCUUGCUUGUAUAUUUGAAUGCUUUUUGUUUUUUUAACUAUUUUUAGAGUUUUAGGCCUAGUGUGAAAAAUAGGGUAAGAGGUGAGGGAGAGAGUAAGAGGAGCAGCGACCGGCGAGAGAGAUGGCAUGAGCGUUAUGGGGAGCAAGAGUGAUGGAGAUAGUGAAGAAGCACAAUAGUGGUCACGUUUGGAAGAUAUUUAACCUCACUUCCACUCGCAAAGCCAACGACAAGAAGUGUCUCCAUCGCGUUUGGCAAGUCAUUUUAUCUAUACUUUGCUUCAUUUCAUCUAUCUUUUCUAAUUAUUUCCCCUUUUGGGUAUUCAAUAUUUUCCAUAAAAAUUGGUUCUUUAGAGUAAUUGAAAUCAUGAAUAAAGAAAGAAGAAUUCAGCAGCAAUCACCGGUUGCAGCUGAAAUCCCUCUUUUUCCCCAAGAAAUCAUGGUGGAAAUCUUUUUAAGAUUACUCGUCAAAUUGCUUUGCCAAUUCAGAUGUGUCUCAAAACAAUGGCUUUCUUUUAUAUCAGAUCUCCUUUUAGCCAAAUCCCACCUCAAAAAACCAUUAAGAAUGAUAGUUUUUAUUCUCAGAGGAAAAGAGUAACCAUUUCCUCAAACAAUUUGUACUCUUUUGAAUAUGAAUCAAUCGGUAGAAAUUGUAGUUUUGAUGAGAAUUUGGUAGCUUUAGAGCUUGAUUAUCCUUUGAAAGACGGGCCAAAUGGAUUAGCUGAGUUAUUAGAUUAUGGUAGAGAUGGUUUUAUGUAAUGUGAAAGAAGUGAAGAAGGUAAUGAUGAAUUUCCAGUAAUGGUGAAGUUAAAUUUUCCAUUUUGUGUGAACCAAAAGAAUGGCUGAUAUCUUAGGUUCUUGUAAUGGUUUGGUUUGGUUUGUAUUUCCCCAGAUGAAGAUACCCUUUUUUUUUGUUUAAUCCUUCCAUUACAGAAUCCAAGAGAAUCCUAGACCCACCUUCGAAUUUUGUUCCGAAUGAUUGGAGUGUUUACGGUUUCGGUUUUAAUUUUGUUAAGGAUGAUUAUAAGGUAGUGAAAGUAGGUUGUGGAACUGUUUGUGUUUACUAAUUGAGAACUUAUUCUUGGAGGAUUGUUUGUAGUUUAAAAACAUUAUUUAAAUUUCUCACACUAGGUUGUCUACUUACCAUGAAUUUAUAGUCAUGGUGGCACUUGGAUAAGAGAAUCAUCAUAUAUCGUCUUUUCUUUUUCAAAGAAUUAAAUGGUAACAAUAUACAUUAUUUGAAUGAUAAAAUGUUUGAUUUACAUAUUUAUGUGAAACUCUUUGCAUAUUUUUAGCUACUAUUUGGUGUUCUUUUGUUGUUCUUUUGCUUUUUUGCUCUACAGUUAGCUUUAUGAAAAAUUAGAAAAGUUACAAAAAAAAAAUUGAGGCCUUAAUUAGGUUCUUAUUUUGUUUUUGUGGAACAAAUUGAUAGACCAGUCUGAACAAUGGGGUUGAACCAAUUGAAUCAGAAAUUAUGUUCAUUCAAUAAUAAUAGUUCUUUCUCUUUUUAUUUGUUCUUUAAAUUUCUUAAAUGAAAGUGGAAAUUUUUGCAAACGCACUCUAUGAAAGAUGAAUUUGUUUUGAGGUAAUUUCUUCGCUUUCUAUAUAUAAUUCAUCUAUAUGAAAUCUAAUGUAUAUGUUUUUUUGUGAUUGAUGAAUGAGAAGAUGGUGAUGAGUUUAAUUUUUUUAAUUCAUCUAUAUGAAAUCUUAUGUAUAUGUUGCUUCCUGCUAGUUUAUCUUUUGAACAUGUUUUGGUCUUUUGGUAAUUGGAUUUAGUGAAGAGAAUAGUUAUGUAACAGACCAUUUUCCAGUGGUUUUGGGACCAUAAUUUCGAAGUGUCGGUUUGUAAAUAUUCAUUAUUUAAUAUUUACGAGGUCACUAGUGUCGUACUAAAAUUUGAAUAAGAAAUUUUGAUGUUUAGCUACUUAAUUAAAGAAAAAAGACUAAAUUGUAAAAGUACAAAAAUUUAAUUAGUACUAGUUUAAUUGGUCAAAUGGAUGGAAAAGCAUUAUGGUAGGGAAUUGCAAUUAAGCCAUUUUUCUAGUUAGUGGUUGAUUAUAAGCCAUUUUCAUUGAUUUUAUGUUUAAAUUUUAUAUUAUAAUUAAAUAAAAAGUCAUUUUGAUAAUACAAUAAAGUGAGAAAGGUUCCAUCUUCUUCUUGGUUUAUUGUUAAAAUCGAAAACCCCAUUUUAAACAUUAGAGCUUUGAUUUUGCUAGUCAUGGUGCAUGUAGGUAUUUUCUUGGUUUAUUUAUCAUGAAUUUUAAGUUUUGAGCUAAUUGUAAUGGAAUCUAGCUAUUUGGGGGUUAAAUUUUGAAAUUAUCGAAGCAUAAAAAUUAUGUCAUUGAAAUUUUUGAAGCUUUUUAGUUGUAUUUGGUUUGGGUUGAAGCUUGGUGUUGAUUUUUAUUGAGUUUACAAAGUAAUUUUUAAUAAAUUGUAAAUUUAAGGAGUUAAUCGUAACUAUGUAUAAUUAGCCUGGUUUCUUUAUAUUUCAUAUCAAGUAAGUAUCUAAACAAAUACUAACACACCUAUUACAUGCCAUAUAACCCAAAAGUAAACAUUCAAAAACUACCAAUAAUAUCUGGAUAGUGUGAUUUCUUUGAGUUGAUUAUCUUCGAUGUGUCGUAACUAAUGAUUAUCUUCGAUGUGUCGUAUCUUUACUUAAAGAUGAAGCUUACAAUUUGCGGUCAAUGUUAAUAGCGGUACUACUGAGAGGUAACAUCAAUUGGGAAUUCUUUAAAACAAAUUUUAAAAAUAAGUAUGUUAGCAAAAGAUACCUGAUUCGAAAAAAAAAGAAUUUUUUGAAUUGAAACAAGGUAACAAGUCGAUAGCUGAGUAUGAAAGAGAGUUUGUACAUCUCAACAAGUAUGCUUUUAAAAUCGUGUUGAAUGAGGAAGAAAUGUGCAUUUGUUUUGAAGAUGGAUUAAAUGACGAAAUUAAAAUGUUGAUUGCAGGGAUAGAAAUACAUGAGUUCAUUGUUUUGUCUGAUCGUGAUCAAAAGAUGGAGGAAGUUUAUAAUCUAAAGAGAAAGAGAGAUAAAAAGGCUCAAAAUUUUGGAAAAAAGAAGCUUUUCUAAGUCUUUUUCUACACCACCGUCAAAGAAAUUAAAUGAAGAUUUUAAUCAUGUCACUUCACCAUUUGGGUUCUUGGGUAAAAAUAUAUCAAGGCAACAUGAUUCGAAAUCUCAAAUUAAUUUUAAUAGCCCAUUUUUCAAUGGUGUCAGAAACAGUGAUUUCAGGACACAAUUCUGAUGAGUGAGUACAUAAAAGUCAAGUGGUUUUGAAAAUGAGGUUUUGGGACCUUGUUUUUGUAAAUCAAGCUUGUAAAUGAUUUUAAUAAACAUUUACGGAGUUACUAAAUAGGUAUAUUAAAGUUUUGUCCAAAAAUUUUAACGUUUAUAUAGUUAAUUAAAUGAAAAGGACUAAAUCGUAAUAGUUACUAAAAUUAGUUUUAUAGGUUUAAUUAUGGAAAAUGACUAUAAAAGCAUUAAUUAAAGGUUUUAAAUGGCAAUUAUACCAUAUAAAUUUGUAGUGGACGAUUUGUUCUGGCAUGGUAUGAGAUUUUUGGUCAUUUUAAGUUUAAAAAUGUAAAUUAAAUUAAAUAAAGUAAUAAAAAAAUGAUGAAAACCAUCAUCUUCCACUUACCCUUUUUUUUACCACCGAAACAAGAGAAACAAAAACUUGAGAGGCCAUUGUUGAUAGCUUAAGGUUCGACCAAGUAAGUGUAUUUUUAUCUCGUUUGUUGUAAUUUUUAUAUUGUUGAGAUUAUUACAACUAGGUCUAACUAACCCAGGUGUUUAUUCGUAAAACUAUUAAAUGUUUUGAAAUGUGUCAUUGUUGAAUUUGUGAGAUUCUUGAAGUUUUAUGAUAGUUUUGUAAGUUUGGUAACUAAAUAAGAUUGUUUUGUAAAGUAGUUUUUAGUGAAUUUGAUGUUUAAGGAGUAAAUUGUUAAAGAAGUAAAAUUUCUUGGAAUUAUUUUGAAAUUGAGAAAUGUAUGAGUUAUACAAGGAUUAUAGGAAUUUCGGCUAGCUUGGUUUAAGCUUAAAUGUGUUCAAUUUGAUAGUUUCGGGUUUAAAGACUAAACUGCAUAAAGAGUAAAGUUUAGGGGUAAAAUUUUAAAAAGCUAUUAAAAAGGCUUAAAUACAUAAAUUUGAGUGAUCAUGUAGUUUUAAUUUAUAUAAUUAAAUUAAACUAUACUUUAGAUCAAGGAUCUCAACGAUCAAAGGACGUACGAGGAAAAGGAAAAAUUAUCGAUUAGUCCUUGAUAGUUGAAUCACUUUGAUAGGUAAGUUUCUAUUGAUGUCUUUCGUUAUAAUUUGAAAUAAAAUGGUGAUAAUUAUAUCUAUGUAUAUUUAGUUGACAAUGUAGGAAAGAAUUUGGUCUAUAAGAAAUAGAAAUGAAAUUUUCUGGAAUGAUUUCGAUGGAUCGAGUAAAAGUUUCAUACAUGAGAUUUCUGUCUGAAUAUCUGUUCUAGACCGAGCUUCUGGAUGUGUUGCGAACUCAAAUUUAUAUGUGACUCAGAUUUAGCUUAGACCGGUAAUUCGUUUUUGUUUUACAUGUAUACAUAGCUCUGGCCAAACUAGUUUACCUGUGUUGUCACUGGUUUAGCUCAGACGAGUAACCUGACGCAUUCAUUCUGUAUCUGGUUAGCUCUUAUAAGCAUUAUCUGUUUUUGGACUUAUGUAUUGAAUACUUUACAAAUAUCCAUCGAAAGAAUAAAGGUUAUUUUGAUACAGAACUGUUUCAUUGAAAUAAGCAAAAUAUGAAUUAUGAAUAUCUGUAUAUUCAUUACUUAUUGACCCAGAAUUGUUAAACUAUGUCCUAAUAUGAAAAAAUAUGACAAGGAUAUGUGAAGCAAAUUUUAAUGAUAAAAGUGAUGCAAAAUGAUAAAUUGAAAAGAAAUGGAUUCAUGAUGAAAUUUUAAAUUAAAGUUGGUAUUUUACCAUUUGAAAUUACAUGUGGUUUGGACUAAAUCUCAUAUGGUUGAUGUUUUGAAUGUUAUGCUAGGUGAAAUUGUUUCAAAUUGAUUCUUGUAAUUGUUAAAUGGUUAAGGUAAUCUACUUGUCCAUAUUGUAUGAGUUUACUAAGUAUUUUAUAUAUUUACUUGAGUUAUUGCUUUUCAGUAGAUUUUGAGCUGUUCAAAACGUGUGGAUCGGAUCCACGAGAAGCUCACACCUUUGAUCUCCCGAUUCGGUAGACUUUUGAUGUUUCGAGCUUGGUUAUUUGUGGCUUAUACUUAGGAGUAUUAAAUAUUGAAAUGUAAAGCUUGUGUUUGUGGUUUGGCAUGGUUGAGUUUGAAUGAAUAUAAAUAGUAAAUAAAUGUAUAUGGUAAUUUAGCAUAUAAAUGAUUAUGAUAAAGACAUUGUUAGUAUUAAGUAUUUGUUUAGAUGAUAGCAUGAAAUGGCAAUGGACUUUGGUAUGUUAGUUAAUUUUUUGUAAUAAUGAUAUGUUUGGCUUGAUGAAAUUGUAUAAAUUUUUAGGCUAUAUUAUGAACUUUGCCUAUUGAUAUUCUAGUUAAAGAAUUAAUUCUUGCAUAUGUAUGUUUAGGUAUGAUUAACUUGUCAAGAAUGGUAAAGUUUCCUUAUUGUGUAAUGGUUGAAUUGUUGGUGUCAAUGAGGGCAUAUUAGUUGCUUGUUUGUAUGAUUAGUAAAUUGAUGUUUUGGUUUUGUAGUCUACAUAUUUUGGAGUAGGUUUGAAUGGUGUUAAAUGACACUAUUAAGUCAUUUGGCAUGAAUGGCAUGC
RNAcentral lists this long non-coding RNA (5878 nucleotides) under Gossypium raimondii (Peruvian cotton). RNAcentral describes it as "long non-coding RNA (GRAI_LNC009263)". The record is from RNAcentral. Lineage: Eukaryota; Viridiplantae; Streptophyta; Magnoliopsida; Malvales; Malvaceae.